RNAcentral lists this ribosomal RNA (178 nucleotides) under uncultured bacterium. Its description in RNAcentral is "partial 16S ribosomal RNA". The record is from RNAcentral.
AAAGCCUGAUCCAGCCAUGCCGCGUAGUGAAGAAGGUCUUCGGAUUUAAAGCUCUGUUGUCAGGGGAAAGAAACGGGACUAGUCAGUGACCGGUAGAGAAAGACUGCCGCAUGCCGAGGGACUCACUGGUCUGGAGUCCGCUAACUGACGGGCGACGCACAAGACGGGUGCGGGGUGG